UUCUCAUCAUCUUCUUAUCUUACCUUUUAGGCUUCCGUCUUUAUCUCUUAUUCCAGCUGGACGUCUGGAAUUAUAUUAUCUUCUCCGUUGCAUUUCGAACAUAUGUGGUCAGGGUAUUUGUGACCAAUUAGCUUGCAAUAUCUGGUUAAUAAUUCUGCCGAAAUAAAUCCUACUUUUAGUGCUCGUGUCGUAGGUCGUUCUUCUGGCUUAAGUAAUGAUAAAAUCCAUCUUUGGACUUCAUCCAUAUCUGCUUUCCUUAACUCCCUUGAAUUGGAAUAAAUCAUUAACUGAUCUCUUGCAUAGUAGCUCCAUAUAGCGUUUCCGUUUAAAUAAUUAUUUGCUAGUUCUUGUAUAAUGGUUGAUAUACCAAUUAUUCUCUUAUUGGCAUAAAAACUGGGUAUCUCGCUUUUUUG
This 413-nucleotide long non-coding RNA is filed under the name Solanum tuberosum (potato). Its description in RNAcentral is "long non-coding RNA (STUB_LNC005706)". The record is from RNAcentral. Lineage: Eukaryota; Viridiplantae; Streptophyta; Magnoliopsida; Solanales; Solanaceae.